AGUAUAUUUUUACCUAUAAUACCUUUAUAUUGUCUCGUGACAAACUUUAAAUAGUGGUUCAUUUUGGACAAUUAUUUUCACAAUGAUAAAAAUCAAGGGAAUUUUUAAAGCUUUUAACCUCAUUUGCUCGCCUAAAACUCCCUCUCAUCUGUCUCCCUCCCGUCUUUCUCCCUCCAUUUGAUAGAGAGCUCGAGACCUUGGUUUUCACCUCGAGAAAGCCCUUUCGCCUUCCAUCCAUGGUUGUCGACUCAACUCAUGAAAUGUAAGAGCCAGCCAGGAGAUCUUCAUUCACAACAGCUAAGAAUAUCUGUUUUAGGCUGCAGAAGUAGGGUUCAACUUCAGAAUUUUGUGGGUUUUUCUUCAUAGCAUGCUUUUUUAUAUGGAUUUGGAGAGACUUGAAGACUUAGGAUCAAGAGUUGGGAGAUUCACAACUUACUCUACACAUUUUGAAUGGGAAACUGUAUGGGGCAGUGAGAGUAGGAGGCUCUAGUUUGAAGCGUGGUGAUGAAGAUAUUUGGUUUCAAAGCCAUAAAGUAGAAAGCAUCAGAGCUUCUAGCUCAUGUAUUUUCAAGGCCAAAAAUUCUUCUUGAUAGAGAGAGAGAGAUGGAACAAUGUUGUAAUAAUAUAAUUCGAAUAUGAAUUUCUCUCUAUCUUAAAUUUCAAAAUAUUUGAUGUAUUUUAUUUUGUGCCUACAUGAAUCAAGUUUUUCUUAUUCAA
This is a long non-coding RNA of Amborella trichopoda, 717 nucleotides long. RefSeq lists it as uncharacterized. The record is from RefSeq and is a predicted model, not a curated record. Lineage: Eukaryota; Viridiplantae; Streptophyta; Magnoliopsida; Amborellales; Amborellaceae.